RNAcentral lists this long non-coding RNA (1601 nucleotides) under Lactuca sativa (garden lettuce). RNAcentral's name for it is "long non-coding RNA (LSAT_LNC000580)". The record is from RNAcentral. Lineage: Eukaryota; Viridiplantae; Streptophyta; Magnoliopsida; Asterales; Asteraceae.
UUAAGGAUAACACCUUAUCCAAGAAGAGUGGGUGAAGUACAAAGGUUGAGUGUUGACUUUCCUUUAUCCUAUGACACAAGCAAACACUCCCAUACCCACUCCAUGUCACUAUUCACCAUCAGCCCAUACCUAAUCAUUUCAUGGUACUUUUCUCACCUUUUUCCAACCACACAAUUGGUCAAAGGUUAGAAAACUCUCCUCUCUCCUCACAUUUCUUUCAUUUCCUCUCAUUCCUCCAUCAAGAACAAACUUCACUUUCUCUCAUCUUCUCUCUCUAAAAUUCGAGAUCCAAGGCUAUACUCCAAGCUUUUCUUCUACUUUUGGUAAGUAUUAACAUCCCCCAUAUGAUUAUUUCACUUCCUUCUACAAAAAUCAUAGAUUGCUUACACAAAUAUCAUCAUAUUUGUUGUUAGCUCCUCAAAUCUUCAAGCAUCUCCCAAGUGUUCUUGAGUUGAACACUUCUUUUCUCCAUCAUCCAUCUACUGAAAUCACUCAAGGUGAGUUCAUACCCAUGUAUUUUCAUGUUUUCUCAAGUUUUUAGGGGGGGAAUACAAGUUAAAACACCAAGAACAUAACUAGACUUUUCUAACAGCUUUCAUCAGAAAAGUUGGACUCCAUUCACGGACUGUUUUGGACAACUUAAACAUUUUAGUUUUAAAAACUGUUUUAGUUGCAAGUAGUUCCAGUUCUUAGCUUUAAAAUGAAUACUUGCACAUCUCCACACGACUUUUCUACAAUUUAUGGUGAUUUUUACAAAACAGCCUGUCUUUUCAAACACAAAUCCGGACCAGUCUGUGAAUAUGAGCAUUUUAAUAUAAGUUAAAGGCUUCCAAAAAUCAUGAUAAAAAUUAUGAGUAAACUAGACCAUUUUAGGAACUCUCAGAAUUUACAGAUCUAGUUUUCGACUUUGUAUGAUUUUUCUAUGAUUUUUCUAAAACAGUGAAGAAAGGUUAAGAGUUAGUUAACAGCUUAUAAUUNUGAGUAUUUUAAUAUAAGUUAAAAGCUUCCAAAAAUCAUGAUAAAAUUAUGAGUAAACUAGACUCAUUUUAGGAACUCUCAGAAUUUACAGAUCUAGUUUUCGACUUUGUAUGAUUUUUCUAUGAUUUUUCUAAAACAGUGAAGAAAGGUUAAGAGUUAGUUAACAGCUUAUAAUUUUCAAAACACUUUGUAACAUGUUGAGCAAAGUGUUAAAUCUUUGAUAACUUCAUAUAUUACAAGUAUUUCUUGUAGUGGUAUAAUUAUAUAAUAGAAAACACUCACUAAAUUGUAAGAAUCCUCCAUCAUAAUCAUUAGUACAAAGCAAAGCAAGAUAAACAUAGCUAUAUUGUACUAUACAUUUGACUUACAUAGAAAGGGUUCUUAAACACCACAAAUAAACAUACUAAACUAUAAUAAGUAUAGUUAGGUUGCAUAUACAUUUCAAACAUUUUGAUAAACUAUAAUAGGUAUAGUUUAUGAUCAUUUACAUUACAAAAGGUUUUCACACGAAAAAGGGUACAGAUACAAAGUACCAGGUUCACAUAAAAUAGUUAUUAUGAUAUUAAAACUAUAUAUCAUCUAGAAUUGUUAGACUUCAACUAUAAUCACUGAGCGUAUAUGCU